Molecule: RNA transcript, 5555 nt
Organism: Alexandromys fortis (reed vole)
Lineage: Eukaryota; Metazoa; Chordata; Mammalia; Rodentia; Cricetidae
Gene: Marchf7
Gene name: membrane associated ring-CH-type finger 7
Exons: 10
Source: RefSeq, a predicted model, not a curated record
GGGGCUGCCAACGGCGGCGGCCACUUGUGCGCCGCAUCCGGAGGGGUGGCCGCCAUUGUGCUUCGUCGCCGACUGCUCUGCUGUCCCCGUGGCCUGAGACCGAGAGCACCGGGAGAGGAGGAGGAGGAGGAGGAGGCCGUGUGGCUGCGGUGAGCCCCACGCUCCCUGCGGUGUGCCAGCUGGAAGAGGGAAACCUUGAGCAUGGAGUCUAAACCUUCCAGGAUUCCAAGAAGAAUUUCUGUUCAACCCUCUGGCUCUUUAAGUUCUAGGAUGGUGUCUGGAAACAGAGGAACUAGUUUAAAUGAUCCCUAUCACUCUAGAGACUCUUCCUUUAGACUGGAUUCUGAAUAUCAGUUUUUCUUAAUUAUUUUACAGUCUGCAUCAGCAUCAGCAUCUGCAUCACCAUUUCAGUCUACAUGGUAUAGUGAAUCUGAGAUAACUCAGGGAGCUCGAUCUAGGGUACAAAACCCACAACGGGAUCAUGAUUCAAAGAGACCUAAACUUUCUUGUGUAAACUGUACAUCUACCUCAGCUGGGAGAAGUACUGGAAGUGGCUUAAAUACAGUAUCAGAUUCUUCUUGGAGGCAUAAUCAAGUUCCCAGAUCUUCAUCAAUGGUACUUGGUUCAUUUGGAACAGACCUGAUUAGAGAAAGGAGAGAUUUGGAGAGGAGAACAGAUUCCUCCAUUAGCAAUCUUAUGGAUUAUAAUCACCGAAGUGGUGAUUUCACAACUUCAUCAUAUGUUCAAGAAAGAGUUCCUUCUUCAUAUUCACAGGGAGCAAGACCAAAAGAGAAUUCAGUGAGCAAUUUACAGUUGAAUUCAUCAUCUACCAAUCACCAAUUGCCUUCUGAACAUCAAACAAUAUCAAGUUCUAGGAACUCUAGCAGAAAUUCUUUCAGAUCACAUUUUUCUCCAAGACAAUCAGAAUCUUUUCGAAAUGCUUCACAUCCCACAUUUUCAUAUCUUUCAAGUAGAGAUGAAACCCCAGUUAUAAGCAAUUCAGAAAGGGUUAGUUCAUCUCGGAGACCAUUUCAAGAAUCUUCUGACAAUGAAGGUAGGCGUACUACUAGAAGAUUGCUGUCACGGAUAGCUUCUAGCAUGUCAUCAACUUUUUUUUCACGAAGAUCUGGUCAAGAUUCCUUGAAUACAAGAUCAUUGAGUUCUGAUAAUUAUAUUUCUCCAAGAACCUUGACUUCACAGUCUCGGAGUAAUGGAGCAUCAUCUUCUGAAGUCAGUGAUAGCAGGACAUCUGAAGCUUCUCAGGGAUUUAGAUUCCUUAGGCGAAGGUGGGGUUUGUCAUCUCUUAGCCAAAAUCAUAGCUCUGAACCAGAUACGGAAAAUUUUAAUCAAGAAUCAGAAGGUAGAAGUACAGGACCAUGGUUGUCUUCCUCCCUUAGAAAUAGAUGCACACCUUUGUUCUCUAGGAGGAGGCGAGAGGGAAGAGAUGAAUCUUCAAGGAUAUCUGUGUCAGAUGUCCCACCUAGAUCUCAUCUUUUUAGAAGAGAAUCAAAUGAAGUGGUUCACCUUGAAACACCGAGUGAUCCCCUUGGGGCUGCUGCCAACAGACCACAAGCAUCUGGAGCAGCAAGCAGUGUUUCUGCAGGUGGCCCCACACCAGAUUUGCCUCAGGGUGGAAGAAGUACAGGACUAGCAGGGAUUCUUCCUGGUUCCCUAUUCCGGUUUGCAGUCCCACCAACACUUGGAAGCAGUCUGACCGACAAUGUCAUGAUUACUGUAGAUAUUAUUCCUUCAGGCUGGAACGCAGCUGAUGGGAAAAGUGAUAAAGCUAAAAGUGCACCUUCAAGAGACCCAGAGAAACUGCAAAAAAUAAAAGAAAGCCUCCUUUUAGAGGACUCUGAAGAAGAAGAAGGAGACUUAUGUAGAAUUUGUCAAAUGGCAGCUGCAUCAUCAUCUAAUUUACUAAUAGAGCCAUGCAAAUGCACAGGGAGUCUGCAGUAUGUCCAUCAAGAGUGUAUGAAAAAGUGGUUACAGGCCAAAAUUAAUUCUGGUUCUUCAUUAGAAGCUGUAACCACCUGUGAACUCUGUAAAGAGAAGUUGCAACUUAACCUGGAGGAUUUUGAUAUUCAUGAACUACAUAGAGCUCAUGCAAAUGAACAAGCUGAGUAUGAGUUUAUCAGCUCUGGUCUCUACCUAGUUGUCUUACUGCACUUGUGUGAGCAAAGCUUUUCUGAUAUGAUGGGAAAUACAAUUGAACCAAGCACUCGUGUUCGAUUUAUUAACCUUGCAAGAACUCUUCAGGCACAUAUGGAAGAUCUCGAAAGUAGGUGGAAUUUCCCCUCCCCAGAUUUGUUGAAUUUACUUUUGCAAAUUAAACCCACAGAACAAAACCUUAAUGUACUCUUUUCUACCAAAUUGAGUUUUGGUUAUAGGCCUAAUACUACCACAGUUAACUUAUUUGAAUACUAUGGGUUGGAAAAUAGGCUCUAGUUUUUUUAACGUAUUUUUUUAAGUUAUGUUUAAUAUGUGAAAGGAGGUAAUUUUAAUCACUAAUUUUCAGUAAACCACUUUUAUUUUACUAUAUGUGAUUAAAAGGAAAACAUAAAAUUAAGUCCUAUCUGUUAAGGGUUUUUAUUUUUAAUAUAUGAAAAAAAUUACUUUUUAAUUAAAUUCCACAUCAUAGAAGGAAUUCUUUAUUUAGGUUUGUGUUUGGUUCCAGGAAAAUAGGCUUGAGCCCAUAACAAAAUGGUUUUGCUUGUUCUUUGUUUACUUAUAGGUAUUUCUUUGUGGACCUUUAAUUCCAGGCAGCUCAAAUUUCUUAGGGUCAUUUUGUCAUUCUCGUUGGGUGAAGACACCUAAUCCCAAAUCUUACAGGCAUUUCCACAACCUGCUGUCUAUCUUCUUGUAUUAUAGCACGUUCGUGAUGCUUCAUACCAGGCGAGGGCAAAAUUGGCUUUAGAACUACUUGUGGGGAAAAUUAAACCCAUCCGAUCCCUGCCUGUUUGCUUUCACCCUCAGCAACAGGUUUCCCUCCCAGUGCGGUCUCCAUUGUUUGACAUGUGUUUUCAUGUUGAUAGGCACUUCCGCCUUUAGAAUACCUCUUAUCUAGAAGGAAGUCUGGCAUCCUUUGAAGAUAAUGUGAGAAGGAUCUGUCCUCAUAAAAAUCUUUUACUUCUUUAAAUAUUCUAAGAUCUAGCCUUUUUAAGUUUUUAUGCCUGUACUAAUUUUAGGUUUUAACAGGAUUUAAGAGAAAAUCAGCACAUUCUAGGUAUUUUUUAUUAGCAUACGUGAAAGUAAAGGAGCUAGUUGGAAUUACUGCUUACUGUGAAUUUUUUCUUUGUAAUAUUAAUAAAAAAAUAGCUCAUUGACUAAUACAAAAGUUCAGUUUUUUUUCUGAAAAUUUUAAUUUCUGUUUUGGUAGGCUACUGUUGUGGUCAUUUGUUUCAGUGUUUUUUCCCCAAGCUUUCUGACUUUGAAAAAAGUAUUUUCAUUUAAAACAUAAUUUCCUAAGCAUAACAUGGUCUUUUUUCUGUAUGCAAGAGAGAAGAAAAAGCUAGAAGUAAAAUAUAGACAACUUUAGCUGACAGUGGAAGAUGGUGCGGCCUCAAAUGAAUCUCAAAUGACUGGAGUAUUGCUACAUUCUGAAAACUAGCCAAGUUGUAUCUUCCUGUGGAAUCAAUCACUAGAAACACGAUACUCCCUAAAACACAAUGCAGCAGUGUGAUAUGUAAACAUAGAGCAUCACAACAGGGUUUAUGUCAGUCAUGAGCUGGAUAGCACUUACUUUAAGUAGAUUUUAUCCAUAAAUGUUAACAUUUUUCCAGCUCUUAGUUUGGGUUGAUCUAGUAUCCUAGAGAGCAUUCAUUAAGCUUUUUUGCUCUUGAUAAUAGUAAAGAGAUUAGUUGAUGUUUAUCUUAAGGAACUUAUAAAUCAGAUUACGUAUUGCAUAGCUUCUUCUUGCCUUGGCUAUCCCAAAGACAUUCUAGGAUGUUUUAUAUUAAAUAAUGGCCAUUGAGUAAAUUGAGGUAGGAGAUAUUAUAAAAACAAUGUUUCUGAGAAUUUGGAGACAUGGGGAUAAUCUCAGCAGCAGGUUUUUUGUUGUUACUGGUUUUGGUUUGUUUUUUCUGAAGCCAAUUAUUUUAAGUUAGGCUGUGUCUAUAUAAAGCUUUACUUAUAUCAUAGAGCUUUUCCUUGGCAUUGUAUAGACAUAGCUGUGAUGUAAAUUGCAAGAACAUCCAUAACCUAUUAUUCUAUGUACAUUUUUUUUCAUUCUCAUCGGAUGCAUCAAACAUGCAGCGGUAAUAAGCCAGAUUCUACUCAGCUUCAGAGGAUGAGUCUGAAGAAGAUGGAGACCAUAACAGAACAUUUGAUAUUGCCUAACUUCAUUUAAGACAAAUGGAUGCUCCUUAAACAUGUUUAUUAAUAGUGGCAAUUAAGUAUGAAUAAUUUUGUGGGGGAAUGUCUAUUAGAAAUAUUGACUAUAUAUAAAAUGAAUAUAUAUACCUACAUGUAUAAAUGUAAAUAUAUAUUCAUUCUCAAGUGUUGCUGAAUUGAAAUUCUUCAACUGGACUUUUUAACAUUGGCCAGCAAAUCUCAUGUUUAUAAUGUGUAAUCAGAAGCAUUGUUUUCUUUUAGGUGAGUGGUAAAGCAUCACCCUCCCUUUUAAUAUCUAAGCAAUGCUCAUCAACUUUUUCUCUGUGUUACAAUUACUGUAGUCAUAUUUAUGGGGGAAAAUGUUUGUGUAUUAGUCUCUUGCUAGUGAGAAAACUCAGAUAAAAUGUACUUUUGAAAUAAAAUGCCAAUGGCACCUAAUUAGUUUUCCUUUUUAAAUGCCUUAAGUUACAGCCACAUUUUGAUAAUCAUUUUCUUCCAGUGUUUAAAUUUUUUUUAAAGAACAGGAAGUUUGAAGAGCAUAAUUAUAUUAGGUUUCCAAAUUUAAUUUGAAUUCUAAAUUCACUUAGCAAUAAAACCUAAUUUUUAAGAAAAAAGUAUGUAAAAGAUAUAGAAAUGAUGGAUAACUUUUGUAUUGAUUUGCAAAAAUGUAGAUUAUAUUUGAUAGGCCAUGGUAUGUAGGUAUUCCUUUCAGGAAUAUUACAGCUGUAAAUUAUAUCAGAAUUGCCAGUCAAAUGAUAUUUGGUUAAAAAUUAAUGAAAAUCUCAAGUUAACAGAAUAUUUUUUUAAGCCCACAUUCGAAGUUGAAAACACUGGUUUCGCUGUGUGUGGUGUUGUCACUCUUUAUCGAGGAAUAGAAUAUAUAGAACCUGUUUGGGUCCUUGGUGAUUCUGAGCAUUUCUUUGAUGAUUGUUAAUAUUUUUCACGACCUUUGCAAAAACAGAUGAAUUACUUAUUCAACAUGAAUGAGUUUGCACUAUGGUCAUGGUCAUGUAAACUUCCAUAACAGUUUCCACUGUCAACACCCUUAGGAUACACAUUUAUACUUUCUGGUGGUUUCAGAUUAGUCCAAUGUUGUGGCAACAACUUUUCAACAUCUAAAUAGAAACCAUGUAAUUUCUCAAAUGUGAAUAAGCAGUUUGUCUACGCUUAGUUUGUUGGUAUUAAUGUAAAACCUUGGCUUGAAAUAAAGUGAUACUGAUUGA